Small nuclear RNA from Cavia aperea (Brazilian guinea pig), 100 nucleotides. The record is from Ensembl. Lineage: Eukaryota; Metazoa; Chordata; Mammalia; Rodentia; Caviidae.
UCGCUUUGGCAGCACCUGUACAACAACUGAAACGAUAUAGAGAUUAGCACAGGCUCUGCGCAAGGGUGACAUGCAAAUUCAGGAAGUAUUUCGUAUUGUU